Molecule: ribosomal RNA, 304 nt
Filed under: Salmonella enterica
Lineage: Bacteria; Pseudomonadati; Pseudomonadota; Gammaproteobacteria; Enterobacterales; Enterobacteriaceae
Also listed under: 4 other names
Description: partial 23S ribosomal RNA
Rfam family: Bacterial large subunit ribosomal RNA
Source: RNAcentral
CUGUAAGCCUGCGAAGGUGGCCUGUGAGGGUUGCUGGAGGUAUCAGAAGUGCGAAUGCUGACAUAAGUAACGAUAAAGCGGGUGAAAAGCCCGCUCGCCGGAAGACCAAGGGUUCCUGUCCAACGUUAAUCGGGGCAGGGUGAGUCGACCCCUAAGGCGAGGCCGAAAGGCGUAGUCGAUGGGAAACGGGUUAAUAUUCCCGUACUUGGUGUUACUGCGAAGGGGGGACGGAGAAGGCUAUGUUGGCCGGGCGACGGUUGUCCCGGUUUAAGCGUGUAGGUGUGUGUUCCAGGUAAAUCCGGUU